GCAUCAACAAGCGCCGAAUGGCGCACUUACCGGCAAGUCGCGUUUGGGAGGACGUGAUCUUCGGCGCGCCAAGGCGCAGCCUCGGUCCAAGGACCGAUGUAAGAUCCAGGCUUGCGAUCUAAAAUGCGAGGCAGUGCCUCGCAUUUUUUU
Molecule: non-coding RNA, 150 nt
Filed under: Aureimonas sp. AU20
Lineage: Bacteria; Pseudomonadati; Pseudomonadota; Alphaproteobacteria; Hyphomicrobiales; Aurantimonadaceae
Source: Rfam by way of RNAcentral